Molecule: ribosomal RNA, 421 nt
Filed under: uncultured eukaryotic phytoplankton
Lineage: Eukaryota
Description: bacterial SSU rRNA
Rfam family: Bacterial small subunit ribosomal RNA
Source: RNAcentral
GGAAUUUUCCGCAAUGGGCGAAAGCCUGACGGAGCAAUACCGCGUGAAGGAUGAAGGCCUGUGGGUCGUAAACUUCUUUUCUCAUAGAAGAAUAAUGACGGUAUAUGAGGAAUAAGCAUCGGCUAACUCCGUGCCAGCAGCCGCGGUAAUACGGAGGAUGCAAGCGUUAUCCGGAAUGAUUGGGCGUAAAGCGUCUGUAGGUGGCUUUGUAAGUCUAAUGUCAAAGACCAGGGCUUAACCGUGGGAAGGCAUUGGAAACUACAAGGCUUGAGUUGGGUAGAGGCAGAGGGAAUUCCCGGUGUAGCGGUGAAAUGCGUAGAUAUCGGGAAGAACACCGAAGGCGAAAGCACUCUGCUGGGCCUUGACUGACACUCAGAGACGAAAGCUAGGGGAGCGAACGGGAUUAGAUACCCCUGUAGUC